Molecule: ribosomal RNA, 253 nt
Filed under: uncultured bacterium
Lineage: Bacteria
Description: partial 16S ribosomal RNA
Rfam family: Bacterial small subunit ribosomal RNA
Source: RNAcentral
GACAGAGGUGGCAAGCGUUGUUCGGAUUUAUUGGGUGUAAAGGGCAGGUAGGUGGCUAUGUAAGUCUGGUGUGAAAGCCCAGGGCUCAACCCUGGAACUGCAUUGGAAACUACAUGGCUUGAGUAUCGGAGAGGUGAGGGGAAUUCUCGGUGUAAGGGUGAAAUCUGUAGAUAUCGAGAGGAACACCAGUGGCGAAGGCGGGUUGCUGGGCUGAUACUGACGCUGAGGCGCGAAAGCCAGGGGAGCGAACGGG